UCUAUAUAAAUCAUUUAAAUUAAAUAAAAAAAAUAUAUAAUGUAAAAAUCAAGUACAAAUGUCUAUACAAAGCAAUUACAAGCUCCAGUUGCAGGUGAAGGAGGAGGAAAAUCUUGUGGAGAUUCGUAGGAGAAUGAUAAUGACUAGAAAAGUAUGUCAUGAUCUUCUUCAAAUUUUUUUGUUGUUUUUCAUACUUUACCUCCAUUUCAGCCCUUAGAGCACCAACUUGUUAUUCAAUCAACUCCUCAACAACUGGUUGACUAAAGCGGGAUUAUAGGAUGUCUACAGCCGAGACACUACAACCUGAUCUCAUAUCCUAGUUUGUAUUUAUAAAGAUAUUGUAAACUCAAUUUCUAUCGGGUCCACCGAUUACUCUGGUCUUCAACCACAAAUCUGGAUCGUAUUUUGGAUUAGUUGAAAGGUUCUCUUCAUGUUUUGCAGGUAUGACGAUGUUAUAUUAUCCCUCCACCACAAAAAAAAAAUAAAGUCAAAGAUAUGGAUGAAAAACAUUAGUUCGAGUAAUAUAUAAAAAGGUUUAAAAGUCCACUUCUAAUAAACACUUUAACUCAGUUAUCAACAAACCGUCCCACCUCUUUUUAUCUGUUUUGUACUCUUUGAUACCUAUAAAGCCGAGCAAAAGAAAGAAUCCUAAAAGAGACUAACUUCAAGGGAGUUAUAGUUGAGGAAUUCUUUACCAUAUAAGGAAUUCAUGGACUACUUUAGGGAUUGUGCCAGUUUGAUCAAAUGAGCUUAUUAAAGACGGCACAAUCCUCUUGAAUGGAGUUAUAGUUGAGGAAUUCUUUACCAUAUAAGGAAUUCAUGGACUACUUUAGGGAUUGUGCCAGUUUGAUCAAAUGAGCUUAUUAAAGACGGCACAAUCCUCUUGAAUCGGUAAGUUAAAGGUCUACAUGGCACUUGGACCCAAAAAGGGGGAGAAGAAUCUUGUGUGGGCAUAAAGUGCUUGGACAAGAUUGGUGACCCAUCAAGCCUUGGGUUGGUGAUCUUAAUAGGUCUUAUCUCAUAUUUAGUGCCAAGACCCAGUGAUGGAUGGUACAAAUCGCAGCCCAAUUUUGAGGCCAUCACUAAUGUGAUUGGUUUGGGCUCUAAAAUGAAGAUGCUAAACAUGUGCCUGUCAAAUCGCAAAAGGCAAUAUUCUGAGGCUACAUUACUAAUUUGUUGGAUAAGAAGAGAAAUGUAUCUAUGCAAGCAAAAUAAGGACAACCUUUUCCCAAAUCAACUUGGAAGUGCUUUUUGUUUCACUUGUUAGUGGAUUGAGUGAAGUGCAACACAAGCAAGUGCCUUUCCUUAGUAAAUUAUUUUCUUACAAAAGUUAUGGCUAUCUCAAGAGAUACGAUAGGAAUACGAGAAUUUUCUAGUGCAAUUGAUAGAGUACGCAAAGGUGUAGAUAUAUAUUAUCUUGUGAUGAGGUGACAAAUGUGCUCAAUAUUCAUCAAUAUUGACUAAUCUCCAAUGCUAGAUAAACAUAAUUACUUGUUGUUUGAAUAAAGUUACAGACAUUACUAGGAUAAUUUCA
Molecule: long non-coding RNA, 1534 nt
Filed under: Populus trichocarpa (black cottonwood)
Lineage: Eukaryota; Viridiplantae; Streptophyta; Magnoliopsida; Malpighiales; Salicaceae
Description: long non-coding RNA (PTRI_LNC001720)
Source: RNAcentral